AGUGAACGCUGGCGGUAGGCCUAACACAUGCAAGUCGAACGGAAGCACAGUAAGAGCUUGCUCUUACGGGUGGCGAGUGGCGGACGGGUGAGGAAUACAUCGGAAUCUACUUUUUCGUGGGGGAUAACGUAGGGAAACUUACGCUAAUACCGCAUACGACCUACGGGUGAAAGCAGGGGAUCUUCGGACCUUGCGCGAUUGAAUGACCCGAUGUCGGAUUAGCUAGUUGGCGGGGUAAAGGCCCACCAAGGCGACGAUGCGUAGCUGGGCUGAGGGGAGGAACAGCGACACUGGAGGUGAAAGACGGUCCAGACUCCGACGGGAGGCAGCGGUGGGGAAGAUUGGACGAUGGGCGCAAGCCUGAUCCAGCCAUGCCGCGUGGGUGAAGAAGGCCUUCGGGUUGUAAAGCCCUUUUGUUGGUAAAGAAAAGCAGCAGGUUAAUACCCCGCUGUUCUGACGGUACCCAAAGAAUAAGCACCGGCUAACUUCGUG
This 492-nucleotide ribosomal RNA is filed under the name uncultured bacterium. RNAcentral's name for it is "partial 16S ribosomal RNA". It matches the Rfam family "Bacterial small subunit ribosomal RNA", at positions 29 to 507 of the family's 1533-position model. The record is from RNAcentral.